CACCACCACCUGAUCAAUUGGUAUACAUUAAUAAUUUUUCCCACAGAGGCUGAGAUGAUAUGAUAGGAUGCUCUAAGAGGCUUGAUGAUAUUAUGUACGUACAGACCUAUGCAUUAUAUGACAUUUAUAUGCAUAUGCAUGACGUUAUAAAUAUUUCAUGAUUUAUAGAGCUAUCCAGACUUAUAGGUGGAAUCCUUUACUCCAUGUUUCUUCCAUGUCCUUUAUAUACUGAUUUGCAUGCCUUACAUACUCGGUACAUUAUUCGUACUGACAUCCUUUUGUUGGGGAUGCUGCAUUCAUGCCUACAGGUAUAGAUAAUCAGUUUGAUGAGCCCUCGUAGUAGACGAGGUUAGCAUUCAGCGAAGGAUCGGUAAGACUCCACCUCAUUCAGAGUGCAGUCGAGUCUAUAAGUCAUCAUGUCAUAAUUUUGUCACAGACAUAUGGGCAGGCCGGUACCCUGUUCCAUUUGAUGUCAAAUAAUCUUAGAGGUUUUGUAGACAAAGGUUCAUUUUGUACAAUAUGUCAGAGACCUUGACGGCCCAUAUGUAUUCUUGUUUUAAGAACGAUGGUUCAUUGAUACAACGUUUACCCACUUAUAGUUAUACAUUACGAGUUGUGGCCAAGUUGGCCCAAUUUAGUUACAAAAAAAAAUGACAGAGUGGUUCAUUCGGGCCAGUACGACAUCGGGUGCCAGCCACGCCUCCCCAGAUUUGGGGCAUGACAGAAGAAAGAAAUGAGUUACAGAGUGGUUCGCCCGGGCCAGUACGACACCGGGUGCCAGCCACGUCCCCCAGGUUUGUGGCGUGACAAAAUCCCCUUAGGAUUUGGUACUGUAGUGAUAUGCGAGUGUUGUGUACGUGAGGUGACGAGUACGUACACGGGCAAUUUGCUGUAAAACCCGAUAUAUUUUACUGAGUAGCAACAUAUUUUUCCUUUAAUUUGAGUUAUACCGUUUAAAUGAGUAUUAGUUUGUUUUCAUUUUUAAUUUAUCUAUUCCAAUAUGUGUAGUUAUCUUGUUUAGUCUAAUAUCGCAUGUCUAUGUGCUUUAACUGCUUAUUUGAACUCUGUGAAGCAUGCCUAGUUGAUUUCCUGCUUUUCCUUAUUCGUUAUUAGUAUAAUUAAAGAAAUCUUGCUAUUAACAGUUGUAUUUAUCGGUUUGAGUUGUGUGUUUACUUUUGAGACUACGAGGCGGUUCCUCGGGAGUUCUCCCUGCACAUUUACUUUUAAGACUAUGAGGCGUUUCCUCGGGAGUUCUCCGUGCACAUUUACUUUUGAGACUACGAGGCGGUUCCUCGAGAGUUCUCCCUGCAUAUUUAUUUUUGAGACUACGAGGAGGUACCUCGGGAGUUCUUCCUGUAUAUUUACUUUUGAUACUAUGAGGUAGUACCUCAGGAGUACUCCAUGUAUAUUUAUUUUGGGAAUACGAGACAGUAUCUCUGGAGAUCCCCUGUGAUUUACGCUUGUGUGUUGUACUGUUACCUUGAUGUGUUUCCUUUUGUUAAAUUCUAGUCUCUUAUUAUACUGUAUAUUCUCUUGCCUUAUUUAUUAUUUACCAGUAGGCCUGACCUGACCUCGUCACUGCUCGACCGAGGUUGGUUUUGGAACUUACUGGGUACUAUUGUGGUGUACUCAUGCUACUCUUCUCCACAUGUUUUAUAUGCAGAUCCAGGUACUUCUUAUCAGCCCCGCUACUAGUUGAGAGUGCUUGCUGUUGUACGGAGACUUCAAGGUACAUCUGUCACGUCCGCAAACCUCAGAGUCCCCAUCUAUUCUCUCAUAUGUUAUUUACCUUCCGUAUUUCUUUUAUUAGACUCUGGUGUAUAGAGAUUCUAGUUUUCUUCUGUAGCUUGUGACUUACGAUAUUCCGAAUUUUGGUAAGAUUGUGUAUUUAUAGAGUAUUGGUUAUUGUACAUGCCGAGCGAUAUUGUUACUAGUUACUCAGUUAUCCACUGCUGUUAGUUGCCAAGUUUUACUUUCGUUUUGUUAUUUUCCGCAAUUUGUUAGGCUUACCUAGUCGUAGAGACUUGGUGUUGUCACUAUGUUAUACAUAGGGAGUUUGGGUCAUGACAAAUUGGUAUCAAAGCUCUAGGUUCAUAGGUGUCAUGAGUCACAAGCAGGUUUAGUAGAGUCUCGCGGAUCAGUAUAGAGACGUCUGUAUUUAUCUUCGGAAAGCUAUGAAACUAUUAGGAAAAAUUACACUUCUUUGAUUCCUUGUCGUGUGAAGUUGUUGACUUCGAAAUUCUAAACUUUUGUAUUCUAUUCUCUCACAGAUAAUGAGGACACGUACAUACAGAUCUGAUGACCAGGCACCUGCGCCCUCUACUAGAGCCGUGAGAGGCCAGAGUUGGGGUAGAGACCGAGGACGUCCAUGCGGUGCAGCUAGAGCACCCGCGCGAGCUGCGACAGAGGAGCCCCUAGUAGCUCCAGCUGGAAGGCAUACACUUGAGAUAUCUAUUGCUGCACCAGCCCUCCAGGAGACUCUAGCCCAAUUUCUGAGCAUGUUCAGCACCUUAGCCAAGGUUGGAUUGUUUCCACUUGCUCCUACCACAUCUCAGGCCGGGGGAGGAGCACAGACUCCUGUCGCCAGUACUCCAAAGCAGCAGGUUCAGGUCAACUAGGUUCUAAAGAUUAUACCGAUGCAGUCGAUAGCUCCAUCUCAGCCCGAGGUUAGGGAAGAAAUUUCUGAGGCGGAGCAGCUCAGACUUGAGAGGUACAAGAAGUACCAUCCUCCUACAUUUAGUGGAUUGGCAUAAGAGGAUGCCUGGGGUUUUCUGGAGGAGUGUCACCGUAUUUUCCAUACUAUGGGUGUAGCAGACUCGAGUGGGGUUUCCUUUACUGCAUUCCAUCUUAGAGGAUCAGCCUAUCAGUGGUGGCGUACUUAUGAGUUGAGUAGUCCGGCUGAGGCAGCUUCGCUUACAUGGACUCAAUUCUCGGACAUUGUUUUGAGAGAGUAUGUCCCUCAGAGCCUUAGGGAUGCAUGGCGCAUGGAGUUUGAGCAGCUGCGCCAGGGUGCUAUGACUGUGUCAGAGUAUACAGUUCAUUUUAGUGAUUUGGCCCGACAUACACCAGCCUUGGUUGCCACAGUUCGGGAAAGGGUUCGUCUGUUUAUCGAGGGACUCCACCCUAGUAUCAAGCUUAGCAUGGCCUGGGAGUUGGAGAUGGAUAUUUCUUACCAGCAGGUUGUGAGUAUUGCUAGGAGAUUGGAUGGCAUGCUUGCUCGGGAGAGAGAAGAGAGGGAGGCCAAGAGGUUUCGAGAGUCUAGCACUUACAGUGGUACUCGUGCCCUAGCUGCAGUUUGCCAUGGUAGGGGCUAUGAGAGUCGCCCCAUUCAUUCAGAUCUCCUAGCCGCCAUUAGUAUUCCGGCCCCUUCUAGACCUCAGGAGCCUUAUUAUGCACCGUCAGUAUCUAGUGUGCCUCCUGCACGGGGUGCUUUUAUCGGCCAGUCCAACAGAACUAGCCCGAUCCAGUCACAGUAGCCACACUCUUUGAGAGCUUUUUUUGAGUGUGGCAACACUCGCCAUAUGGUGAGGGAUUGCCCUAGACUUAGGAGGGGUACACCUCCACAGACUUCUCAGCCACCGCGUGUUCCACCGAGUCCUCGGGCUAUGAUUCCAGCACCAGCUACUGCCCCACUUGCUCAGACAGCUCGAGGUGGAGGUCGGGGAGGUUGAGGUCGCCCUAGAGGGGGAGGCCAGGCCAGAUAUUAUGCUCUUUCAGCUCGCACAAAGGCAAUUGCUUACGACUCUAUCAUUACAGGUAUUGUUCCGGUCUGUCAUAGAGAUGUGUAGGUCUUAUUUGAUCUAGGAUCUACAUAUUUCCUAUGUGUUCUCUUAUUUUGCCCCGUAUUUGGGCGUAUCUCGGGAUUCCUUGAGUUCCCCUAUUUAUGUGUCUACUCCUGUGGGAAAUUCUCUUGUUAUGGACCGCUUAUAUCGGUCAUGUUUGAUUGCUCUUAGUGGUUUUGAGACCAAAGCCAAUUUAGUAUUGCUCAGUAUGGUAGACUUUGAUAUUAUCUUGGGCAUGGACUGGUUGUCGCCCCAUUAUGCUAUUCUUGAUUGCCACGCUAAGACCGUGACGCUGGCUAUGCCAGGAUUACCGCAAUUAGAGUGGAGAGGUACCUUAGAGUAUACUCCCGGCAGAGUUAUUUCAUAUGUUAAAGCUCAACAAAUGGUUGAGAAGAGGUGUGACACGUCUCUAGAUUAUGUGAGAGAUGUCAGUAUUGAUACCCCUACAUUUGAGUCAAUUCCAUUAGUAAGGGACUUUCCAGAUGUUUUUCCAGUUGAUCUUUCGGGCAUGUCGCCCGACAGAGAUUGAUUUUGGCAUUGAUUUGUUACUGGACACUCAACCCAUCUUUAUUCCUCCAUAUCGUAUGGAUCCUCCUGAGUUGAAGGAGUUGAAGGAGAAGUUACAUGAGUUGCUUGUUAAGGGCUUCAUUCGACCCAGUGUAUCACCUUGGGGUGCUCCUGUCUUGUUUGUGAAGAAAAAUGAUGGUUCUAUGAGUAUAUGCAUUGAUUAUCGCCAGCUGAACAAAGUUACAGUGAAGAACAUGUAUCCAUUGCCUCGUAUUAAUGACUUAUUUGAUCAAUUAUAGGGUGCUAGAGUGUUUUCCAAGAUUGACUUACGUUCAGGCUAUCAUCAUUUGAAGAUUUGGGAACCAGAUAUCCAGAAGACUGCUUUCAGGACUCGGUAUGGUCACUACGAGUUCCUUGUGAUGUCCUUUGGGUUGACCAAUGCCCAGCAACGUUUAUGCACUUGAUGCAUAGUGUGUUGCGACCCUAUUUUGACUCUUUCGUCAUUGUGUUUAUUGACGACAUUCUGGUGUACUCCCGGACUCAAGAGGAUCAUGAGCAGCACCUGAUGACUGUGCUUCAGACCCUGAGAGAAAAUAAAUUAUAUGCAAAAAUUUCCAAGUGUGGGUUUUGGCUAGACUCAGUGGAAUUCUUGGGCCAUGUCAUAUCAAGUGAUGGGAUCCAGGUGGAUCCUAAGAAGAUUGAAGUAAUGCACAGUUGGCCCAGACCGUCCUCAGCUACGGAGAUUCAGAGUUUUCUUGGUUUGGCGGGGUAUUACUGUCAUUUGAUAGAGGGAUUCUCAUCUAUUGCAGCACCUAUGACCAGGCUGACCCAAAAGGGUGCUCCGUUCAGGUGGACAAGGAAUGUGAGAAGAGCUUUCAGAAGUUCAAGACAACUUUGACUACAACCCAGUUUUGGUAUUGCCUACAAGUUUGGAGUCUUAUACUGUAUAUUGUGAUGUGUUGCUGAUUGGUCUCGGCACGAUGUUGAUGCAAGACCGUAGGGUGAUUGCCUAUGCGUCCAGACAACUGAAGGUACAUGAAAAGAACUAUCAUGUCCAUGACCUUGAGCUAGCAGCUAUUGUUCAUACCUUGAAGAUUUGGCGGCACUAUUUUUACGGUGUCCAUUGUGAGAUCUACACCAAUCACCAGAGUUUGCAACAUUUGUUUAAGCGGAAGGAUCUUAACUUGCGUCAUCGAAGAUGGUUGGAGCUGCUUAAGGAUUAUGAUAUCACUAUUUUGUACCAUCCCGUGAAGGCCAAUGUAGUGGCCGAUACUUUGAGUCACCAGGCGAAGAGUUUGGGGAGCUUAGCAUAUCUACCAGCAACAGAGAGGCCAUUGGUGUUGAAUGUUCAGGCCUUAUCCAGCCAGUUUGUUAGAUUGGAUAUUUCUGAGCCGAGUUGAGUAUUGGCUUGUGUGGUCUCUCGGUCUUCUCUUUAUGAUCGUAUCAGGGAGCGUCGGUAUGAUGACCCCCAUCUGCUUGUCCUUAAGGACACGGUUCAACACGGUGAUGCUAAGAAGGUCACUAUUGGGGAUGAUGGUGCAUUGAGGAUGCAGGGCAGGCUAUGUGUGCCCAAUGUGAAUGGGUUGCGUGAGUUGAUUCUCCAUGAGGCUCACAGCUCGCAGUACUCCAUUCAUCCAUGUGCCGCGAAGAUGUAUCAGGACUUGAGGCAACAUUACUGGUGGGAAAAAAUGAAGAAGGACAUAGUGGAAUAUGUAGCUCGGUGUCUGAAUUGCCAACAGGUAAAGUAUGAGCAUCAUUGGCCAGGUGGAUUGCUUCAAAGUUAGAGAUUCUGGAGUGAAAAUGGGAGCGGAUCACUAUGGAUUUCGUUGUUGGACUCCCAUGGACUCAGCGGAGGAUUGAUGUAGUUUGGGUGAUUGUGGAUAGGCUGACCAAGUCAGCUCAUUUCCUCCCUGUGAUGACUACCUAUUCUUCCGAGUAGUUGGCUCGAAUUUAUAUCCGCGAGAUUGUCAGGCUUCAUGGAAUACCAGUAUCUAUCAUCUCUGACCGGGGUACGCAACUUACAUCACGAUUUUGGAGGGCCGUACAACAUGAGUUGGGUACUCGAGUGGAGUUGAGCACAACAUUUCACCCUCAGACGGACGGGAAGUCCGAGCACACUAUUCAGAUAUUAGAGGAUAUGCUCCGUGCGUGCGUGAUAGAUUUUGGAGGUUCUUGGGAUCAGUUCUUGCCACUUGCGGAGUUUGCCUACAACAACAAUUAUCAGUCGAGCAUCCAGACGGCACCGUAUGAGGCUCUAUAUGGCAGGAGAUGUCGGUCUCCAGUGGGUUGGUUCGAGCCAGACGAGGCUAGAUUAUUGGGCACAGACUUGGUUCAGGAUGCUUUGGAAAAGGUUAAGGUGAUUCAGGAUUGACUUCACACAGCCCAGUCCAGACAGAAGAGUUAUGCGGAUAUGAAGGUUCGCGAUGUUGCAUUCAUGGUUGGGGAGCGGGUCUUGCUCCGGGUUUCGCCAAUGAAGGGCAUUAUGAGGUUCAGGAAGAAGGGCAAGUUGAGCGCAAGGUUCAUUGGUCCCUUUGAGGUGUUGCGGCGUGUUGGGUAGGUUGCUUAUGAGCUUGCCUUACCUCCCAGUCUAGCAGGAGUUCAUCCGGUAUUCCAUGUUUCUAGGCUCCGAAAGUAUCACGGUGAUCCGUCUCAUGUGCUGGAUUUCAGCUUAGUCCAGUUGGACAAGGAUCUAUCUUAUGUUGAGGAGCCAGUGGCUAUUUUGGACAGGCAUGUUCGAAAGCCGAGGUCAAAGAACGUUACUUUUGUGAAGGUUCAGUGAAGGGGCCAGCCGGUCGAAGAGGCGACUUGGGAGACUGAGCAGGAUAUGCGCAGCCGUUAUCCUCAUCUUUUCACCACUUUAGGUAUAUCUCUAUGCUCACUCGAGGAUGAACGGUUAUUUUAAGAAGGGGAGGAUGUAAUGACCCGACCGAUCGUUUAGAGAGUAAUAGCCCCGAUCCCCUAUUUACUGCUUUCCCCGUAUCUCUUUAUUCUUAUGUGACUUGCUGGGAGGUUUUGGUUGUGUUUUUGGAGUGUUUUGGAACACUUAGUCCUUAAAGUUGUAACUAAAGUUCUAAGAUUUUGACCAUAGUUGGAACUGUGUGAAGACGACUCCAGAAUGGAGUUUCGUCCAUUUUGUUAGCUCCGUUGGGUAAUUUUGGACUUAGGAACAUGUCCGGAUUGUGUUUUGGAGGUCUGUAGUUAAAUUAAGCUUGAAAUGAUGAAAGUUGAAAAUUUGGGAAGUUUGACCAUGUGAACUUUUGGACUUUUUGAUAUCGGGGUCGGAUUCCGAUUUCGGAAGUUGGAGUAGGUCCGUAAUGUCGAUUAUGACUUGUGUGUAAAAUUCGAGAUUUUGGUUGUGUUUUCGGAAAAUUUGGGAAGUUUGACCAUUUGGACUUAUGCAAAUUGCUGAAGUUUUCUGGUUUAUGGUGUUUUCGCACCUGCUGCGGGGAAACCGCAGGUGCGGACUCGCACGUGCGGAAGAUGGAGUACAGAAGUAGACGGGGCUUGGAGUGUGAUGAUUCACAGAAGCAGAAGAUAUCCCCAGAAGCGGGCGCGCAGGCGCGACCCCUUGCUCACAGAUGCGGACCCCGCCCCUUAAGUCAUUUCCGCACCUGCGAGGGAAUUUCUGUGGGUGUGACUGGUGGUUCGCAAAUGCGGAAUCGCUGGGCAGAAAAGAUUAAUUUCGAGGGUUUGAUCUCAUUUUUAUUUUGGGUCUUUGAGAGCUCAGAUUGAGGCGAUAAUUCAAGGAUUUUUCAGAGAGAACUUUGGGGUAAUGAUUCUUAACUUGUUUAUGGUUAUAUUCCACUAAUCUAUAGUUCAUCUCAUCAUUUGAUUAAGGAAUAUAGUUGAGAAUUUUGGGGAAAAGUUGGAAGGUUCUUCAAAUAAAUCUUUGAGUUUUGCUUCGGAUUUUGAUAUCGGAUUUGGAUAAUUUUGGUACGAGUGAACUCGUGAGUGAAUGGGUGUUCAUAUUUUGUGACUAUUACCCGUUUCCGAGACAUGGGCACGAGGAGGCUUUUUGGGGCGAUUUUCUAAUUUCUUGCUUUAGCUUUGAUUUCAUUAAUUAGAUUAAUUUCUUAUAGUUGUAUUUAUGGUAUGUAAUUAAUUUUGGCUAGAUUUGGGCCAUUCAGAGUCGGAUAUUCAUGAAAAAGGCAUUGUUACCGAUUGAUUGAGCUUAGUUCGAGGUAAUGGCUUGCCUAACCUUGUGUGAGAAAAUUCCCUUAGGAUUUGGUACAAUUGUGAUAUGUGAGCGUUGUGUAUGUGAGGUAACGAGUACGUACACGGGCUAUUUAUUGUAAAACCCGAUUUAUUCUACUGAGUAGCAACAUGUUUUUUCUUUAAUUUGAGUUAUACCGUUUAAAUGAGUAUUAGUCUAUUUUCAUUCUUAAUUGAGUUAUUCCAAUAUGUGUAGUUAUCUUGUUUAGUUUAAUAUCGCAUGUCUACGUGCUUUAACUGCUUAUUUGAACUCUGUGAAGCAUGCCUAGUUGAUUUUCCGCCUUUCCUUGUUCUUUAUCAGUAUAACCGUAGAAAUCUUGCUAUUAACAGUUGUAUUUAUCGGUUUGAGUUGUAUGUUUACUUUUGAGACUACGAGGCGGUUCCUCGAGAGUUUUCCCUGCACAUUUACUUUUAAGACUACGAGGCAGUUCCUCGGGAGUUCUCCCUGCACAUUUACUUUUUAGACUGCGAGGCGGUUCCUCAAGAGUUCUUCCAACAUAUUUACUUUUGAGACUACGAGGCAGUACCUCGGGAGUUCUCCCUGUAUAUUUACUUUUGAGACUACGAGGUGGUACUUCGGCAGUGCUCCCUGUAUAUUUAUUUUGGGACUACGAGACAGUAUAUUGGGAGAUCCCCUGUGAUUUACGAUUGUGUGUUGUACUGUUACCUUGAUGUGUUUCCUUUUGUUAAAUUCUAGUCUCUUAUUAUACUAUAUAUUCUCUUGCCUUAUUUAUUAUUUACCAGUGGGCUUGACCUGACCUCGUCACUACUCGACCGAGGUUGGGUUUAGAACUUAGUGGGUACCGUUGUGGUGUACUCAUGCUACUCUUCUGCAACAUAUUUUAUGUGCAGAUCCAGGUACUUCUUAUCAGCCCCGCUACUAAUUGAGAGUGCUUGCUAUUGUACGGAGACUUCAAGGUACAUCUGUCGCGUCCGCAAACCUCAGAGUCCCCAUCUAUUCUCUCCUUUGUCAUUUACCUUCCGUAUUUCUUUUAUUAGACUCUGGUGUAUAGAGAUUCUAGUUUCCUUCUGUAGCUUGUGACUUACGAAUUUCCGAAUUUUGGGAAGACUGUGUAUUUAUAGAAUAUUGGUUAUUGUACAUGCCGAGCGGUAUUGUUACUAGUUACUCAGUUAUCCACUGCUGUUAGUUGCCAAGUUUUACUUUUGUUUUGUUAUUUUCCGCAAUUUGUUAGACUUACCUAGUCGUAAAGACUAGGUGCCGUCACGACAUUAUACAGAGGGAGUUUGGGUCGUGACGUUCCACAAAUAGAAUUUAAAAAGGAUGGAGUGUACGCAGAACUUGCUCCCAUCUUAUGUGAGGUAAAGAGAUUGUUUCUGAACUUGCUCCCAACUUGCUCCCAUAUUAUAUUAAAGAACUUAAAUUACUGUGUAUUGAGAUGAAAGAGGUAGGGGUGGUUAUCGGGCGUAUUGGGCGGAUAAUUAUGCUUAAUGGUUUGGUUUAUCGGUUAUCGGUUAUCGAAUUAUAAAUGUAGUAAUUCGCUAGCCAUCCAAUAAGAUAACAUGCGGAUUAUAUCAGAUUAACGAUUAUCGGACGGUUUAUCGGCUAAAUCAAAUAGAAAUUAUUUGAACAAUCAAUAUCAAACGGCCAAAUGCAUAAUUCAAACUGUCUUUGUUAGUUUUUGAACAAUCAAUACCAUCAGCAUGGUUAUCCACAAGGGUAAUACUAUGGCUCAUAGAAGAAUUCAAUUAAUGUCCACUCAUAAUUCAUGAGAAGCCAGAAACAAUGCCAUUGGCUACAGACAAUUCUAUCAUUCUAUGUACAACUACUUAUGCAAUAAUGUAGUAACAAGUUUAUAUACAUAGGGGUAAAUGUGUAAAUAUAAAAAAUUUAACGGGUUAACGGUUCACCCGACAAGAAAAUUAAGUAAUUCGCCCCCAAUCCAAUACCAAUAAAUCAAUAAGCUAUUGGUUCGAUUUGAUUUGGUUAACAGUUUCGAUUAGAUUUUGAACAACACACCCUAGAAAGAGGUAUAAAUAAAGCUAAGAAGAUAAUAGGAGUAGUAAAUAUUCAUAAAGUCAAAUCUAACUUACCAGCAAAUUUUUUAAAAAAUUAGAAUUUUAAAUCAACAAGGAAAUAGUAUCAAGGCUUGAACUCCUAUGUGCAGAGUACUUUUGGGAUCAACAAUGUGUCCACUAGACAAAUUCCAAGAGUAAAUUGGAUUAAAGUUGAGAAUACUGCUGAUGUGCAAAUUAGGCUGUGGACAUUUCUUCGAAUAAAAAAUAUAAUAAUAAUAAUAAAAGAAAAGUAAAAAAUAAAAAAACAAAGCAGCUGGAAAACUAUAAGAGACAUUCUUCUCCGGCAAAGCAUCUUCCCUCCCCAUCCACUUUUUUCAUUUUCUCUCUCCUCACUCUCCCACCCCCACACACAUGGAACCCCCACUACUAUCCGGCGGCCCACCGAUUUCUACCACCGUUACAACGGCGUCGGUGGUUGGACCUAUGACACAGCCACCACCACCGACGUCAUCGUUACAUCUAAACAACUACGCCAACUCACUAGAUUCCGCCUCCCCAAAGUCACGCAACUCCAACUCCUGGGACGAUCAGCAACCGGCUAACGCCGGUGGCGGCGGAAAGCUCCGCCUCAUGUGCAGCUACGGCGGACACAUAAUCCCUCGCCCACACGAUAAAUCCCUUUGCUACAUCGGCGGCGACACCCGGAUCUUCGUCGCCGACCGCCGUACUUCUCUCUCCGACCUUUCCUCCCGCCUUUCCAAAACCCUCCUUUCCGGCCGUCCGUUUUGGCUUAAAUACCAGCUCCCUAACGAA
This 11291-nucleotide long non-coding RNA is filed under the name Nicotiana tabacum (common tobacco). RNAcentral's name for it is "long non-coding RNA (NTAB_LNC001984)". Lineage: Eukaryota; Viridiplantae; Streptophyta; Magnoliopsida; Solanales; Solanaceae. The record is from RNAcentral.